This 1143-nucleotide long non-coding RNA is filed under the name Mus musculus (house mouse). RNAcentral describes it as "predicted gene, 50445". The record is from RNAcentral. Lineage: Eukaryota; Metazoa; Chordata; Mammalia; Rodentia; Muridae.
GAAUGCUGAAGACAUUGACAUGCGUCCUGCAGAAUGGGAGACCCUCCUCCAACCCAUCAGAGAGUUGCUGGAAGGCAGAACCAGCUGGAUAGUUUGAUGGGAUACAAAUGCAUCUGCAACUACAGCCUCUUAUGUCAGACCCGCUGUCCGGCUUUGGAAAGCUGAUACCCACAGGCUUUGCUGAGCAUGCUGUAUUCACUGUUACUCAUUUCGCAGCUCACCAGUAAAGAGCUUUGAUUGCUCUUGCAGAGGAUGAGAGUUCAGUUCCCAGCACCCACACCAGGUGGCUCUAGCUCUAACUCCAACUCCAGGAGAUCCAACGUCCUCACCUGGCCUUCUCAGAUUGACAAAGGUUUUUAAGAGAGGUGAAAAAUAACGAUAGUGCUUGGAACUGUCGAGGCAAGAGAGGUGCCACAACCCUCCGUGCCCCUGGCUCUGCCACUUCUGUCUGUGUGACAUCAGGAUGCUGUUGUAAGGACCUCCUAUGCUCAUCAACUAGAAGAAUCAAUAUUACGGAAAUAAGUGGUUAUACUACCAAAACCAAUCUGCAGAUUCACUGCAACCUCCAACAAAAUUCUAUUGCCUCUCUUCACAGAGACAGAGUGGGAAAAACAGACUUUAAGGUCACAGGAUGCUGGAGUGACGUCUCAGUGGUUAAGAACACUGGCUGCUCUUCCAGAGAACUGGUGUUCAAUGCCCAGAACCCACAUGAUGGCCCAUAAGCAUCUGUAAAUCUAGUACCUGGGGAAUCUAACUCCCUCUUCUGACACCAGCCAUACAAAUGUUGCACAUAUAGGCAAAACACCCCAAACAUAGAAAAGUUGUGUGGAAGCACGAAAAAUUCUGCAUCACCAGAACAACCCUAGCAAAAAAGCAACAAUGGCAAAGGCAUCACCACACCUGAUUUCUACCAAUGCCCUUCUGAUUAUGGUUGGUUUCAUUUAACGUAACAAUCUCCAGGUCAUUUGUCAUGUCAUGCCACACAUGGUCAUGUGUCAUGAUUUUAUUUUUCUUUAUGUCUUAAAAAAAUCCUGUUGUGUGUGUAUGCAGAGUUUUGUUUAUUGAUUUAUCUGUUAUUGGGUGUCUUGGCUAGUUUGUUUAUUGGCUAUCAUUAAUAAGACAGAAAUAAACAUGGAUGAACAC